This 408-nucleotide long non-coding RNA is filed under the name Physcomitrium patens. RNAcentral describes it as "long non-coding RNA (PPAT_LNC004151)". Lineage: Eukaryota; Viridiplantae; Streptophyta; Bryopsida; Funariales; Funariaceae. The record is from RNAcentral.
CCAAGUUAUCCUGAUGGGAGCCGUCGAGGGUUACCGUGUUGCUGGUGGACCCCUCGGUGACGUUACUGACCCCAUCUACCCGGGAGGCUCCUUCGACCCCUUGGGUUUGGCUGACGACCCCGACACCUUCGCUGAGUUGAAGGUGAAGGAGAUCAAGAACGGCCGAUUGGCCAUGUUCUCAAUGUUCGGGUUCUUCGUCCAGGCCAUCGUGACUGGAAAGGGACCCCUGGAGAACUUGAACGACCACUUGGCCGACCCCGUUGCCAACAACGCCUGGGCCUACGCCACCAACUUCGUUCCCGGAAACUAACUUCUCAAUUUGACGAAAUGAAGUCGAAAUGUGUACUAUAAUGUGCAGUUCACUAUCCUCUUGCUCCUACUUCGGCUGAUAAUAAAAAUCGAUUUCUG